GGAGAGAUGUCCGAGCGGUUUAAGGAGCUAGUCUUGAAAACUAGUGACUCGCAAGAGCCAAGGGUUCGAAUCCCUUUCUCUCCGCCA
RNAcentral lists this transfer RNA (87 nucleotides) under Clostridiales bacterium 43-6. RNAcentral's name for it is "tRNA-Ser". It matches the Rfam family "tRNA". Rfam says of the family: Transfer RNA (tRNA) molecules are approximately 80 nucleotides in length. Their secondary structure includes four short double-helical elements and three loops (D, anti-codon, and T loops). Further hydrogen bonds mediate the characteristic L-shaped molecular structure. tRNAs have two regions of fundamental functional importance: the anti-codon, which is responsible for specific mRNA codon recognition, and the 3' end, to which the tRNAs corresponding amino acid is attached (by aminoacyl-tRNA synthetases). tRNAs cope with the degeneracy of the genetic code in two manners: having more than one tRNA (with a specific anti-codon) for a particular amino acid; and 'wobble' base-pairing, i.e. permitting non-standard base-pairing at the 3rd anti-codon position. The record is from RNAcentral. Lineage: Bacteria; Bacillati; Bacillota; Clostridia; Eubacteriales.